This 209-nucleotide long non-coding RNA is filed under the name Cyanistes caeruleus (blue tit). Its description in RNAcentral is "lncRNA (ENSCCEG00000021332.1)". The record is from RNAcentral. Lineage: Eukaryota; Metazoa; Chordata; Aves; Passeriformes; Paridae.
AGAUGGGGUACUAAGGAUGCUGAAAAUACAAAUGUCAACCGCAAUUUGCAGGGAUCUUCCCUAAAACACGUGUCAUCCAGAAAUUCAGCAGAUGAUGGGUACUUGAUUUCAGUGGCAUUUUCAGGAGAUGAAGAUGAUCCCUUAUCCUUACCAUGUGCCAGAUGAUGCUGAGGAUAACAGCAACAGAGACCAAGCUACUUUUAACUUGG